CCUGGGGAGUACGGCCGCAAGGUUAAAACUCAAAUGAAUUGACGGGGGCCCGCACAAGCGGUGGAGCAUGUGGUUUAAUUCGAUGCAACGCGAAGAACCUUACCUGGUCUUGACAUCCACAGAACUUGCCAGAGAUGGCUUGGUGCCUUCGGGAACUGUGAGACAGGUGCUGCAUGGCUGUCGUCAGCUCGUGUUGUGAAAUGUUGGGUUAAGUCCCGCAACGAGCGCAACCCUUAUCCUUUGUUGCCAGCGGUUCGGCCGGGAACUCAAAGGAGACUGCCAGUGAUAAACUGGAGGAAGGUGGGGAUGACGUCAAGUCAUCAUGGCCCUUACGACCAGGGCUACACACGUGCUACAAUGGCAUAUACAAAGAGAAGCGACCUCGCGAGAGCAAGCGGACCUCAUAAAGUAUGUCGUAGUCCGGAUUGGAGUCUGCAACUCGACUCCAUGAAGUCGGAAUCGCUAGUAAUCGUAGAUCAGAAUGCUACGGUGAAUACGUUCCCGGGCCUUGUACACACCGCCCGUCACACCAUGGGAGUGGGUUGCAAAAGAAGUAGGUAGCUUAACCUUCGGGAGGGCGCUUACCACUUUGUGAUUCAUGACUGGGGUGAAGUCGUAACAAGGUAACCGUAGGGGAACCUGCGGUUGGAUCACCUCCUUA
Molecule: ribosomal RNA, 661 nt
Filed under: Klebsiella quasipneumoniae
Lineage: Bacteria; Pseudomonadati; Pseudomonadota; Gammaproteobacteria; Enterobacterales; Enterobacteriaceae
Also listed under: 1 other name
Description: bacterial SSU rRNA
Rfam family: Bacterial small subunit ribosomal RNA
Source: RNAcentral